RNAcentral lists this ribosomal RNA (661 nucleotides) under Salmonella enterica subsp. enterica serovar Miami str. CFSAN000579. RNAcentral describes it as "partial 23S ribosomal RNA". It matches the Rfam family "Bacterial large subunit ribosomal RNA", at positions 2202 to 2857 of the family's 2925-position model. Lineage: Bacteria; Pseudomonadati; Pseudomonadota; Gammaproteobacteria; Enterobacterales; Enterobacteriaceae. The record is from RNAcentral.
ACCCUUUAAUGUUUGAUGUUCUAACGUGGACCCGUGAUCCGGGUUGCGGACAGUGUCUGGUGGGUAGUUUGACUGGGGCGGUCUCCUCCUAAAGAGUAACGGAGGAGCACGAAGGUUGGCUAAUCCUGGUCGGACAUCAGGAGGUUAGUGCAAUGGCAUAAGCCAGCUUGACUGCGAGCGUGACGGCGCGAGCAGGUGCGAAAGCAGGUCAUAGUGAUCCGGUGGUUCUGAAUGGAAGGGCCAUCGCUCAACGGAUAAAAGGUACUCCGGGGAUAACAGGCUGAUACCGCCCAAGAGUUCAUAUCGACGGCGGUGUUUGGCACCUCGAUGUCGGCUCAUCACAUCCUGGGGCUGAAGUAGGUCCCAAGGGUAUGGCUGUUCGCCAUUUAAAGUGGUACGCGAGCUGGGUUUAGAACGUCGUGAGACAGUUCGGUCCCUAUCUGCCGUGGGCGCUGGAGAACUGAGGGGGGCUGCUCCUAGUACGAGAGGACCGGAGUGGACGCAUCACUGGUGUUCGGGUUGUCAUGCCAAUGGCACUGCCCGGUAGCUAAAUGCGGAAGAGAUAAGUGCUGAAAGCAUCUAAGCACGAAACUUGCCCCGAGAUGAGUUCUCCCUGAGACUUUAGGUCUCCUGAAGGAACGUUGAAGACGACGACGUUGAU